This 245-nucleotide ribosomal RNA is filed under the name uncultured Bacteroidota bacterium. RNAcentral's name for it is "uncultured Bacteroidetes bacterium partial 16S ribosomal RNA". It matches the Rfam family "Bacterial small subunit ribosomal RNA", at positions 524 to 768 of the family's 1533-position model. The record is from RNAcentral. Lineage: Bacteria; Pseudomonadati; Bacteroidota.
UACGGAGGGUGCAAGCGUUAUCCGGAUUUAUUGGGUUUAAAGGGUGCGUAGGCGGUUUGAUAAGUCAGCGGUGAAAUAUUUCAGCUUAACUGGAAGGGUGCCGUUGAUACUGUCGAGCUUGAAUUUAGUUGCUGUGGGUGGAAUGUGUGGUGUAGCGGUGAAAUGCAUAGAUAUCACACAGAAUAUCGAUUGCGAAGGCAGCUCACAAAGCUAAUAUUGACGCUGAUGCACGAAAGUGUGGGGAU